CAGCAGCCGCGGGAAUAUGUAGGUGGCAAGCGUUGUCCGGAAUUAUUGGGCGUAAAGGGCUCGCAGGCGGUUUCUUAAGUCUGAUGUGAAAGCCCCCGGCUCAACCGGGGAGGGUCAUUGGAAACUGGGAAACUUGAGUGCAGAAGAGGAGAGUGGAAUUCCACGUGUAGCGGUGAAGUGCGUAGAGAUGUGGAGGAACACCAGUGGCGAAGGCGACUCUCUGGUCUGUAACUGACGCUGAGGAGCGAAAGCGUGGGGAGCGAACAGGAUUAGAUACCCGUGUAGUCCCUGUCUCUUAUAC
RNAcentral lists this ribosomal RNA (301 nucleotides) under uncultured bacterium. RNAcentral describes it as "partial 16S ribosomal RNA". It matches the Rfam family "Bacterial small subunit ribosomal RNA", at positions 509 to 807 of the family's 1533-position model. The record is from RNAcentral.